RNAcentral lists this long non-coding RNA (222 nucleotides) under Capsicum annuum. Its description in RNAcentral is "long non-coding RNA (CANN_LNC008545)". The record is from RNAcentral. Lineage: Eukaryota; Viridiplantae; Streptophyta; Magnoliopsida; Solanales; Solanaceae.
ACUAAUCAAUUAAGGUAUUAGUUGAACAUAUGAGGUAGUAAGAAUCGAUUCAGCUCAGAGUGAUUGAUCGACGACUUUGGUCGGGAGGAACACAAUACCAUUUCAUUAUGUAAUUGUCAAAAGGCUCAAUUAAAGUUGUAGUUGACCCUAUAAAAACUCACCCUUGGUCCUAGACUAAUCAAUUAAGGUAUUAUUCUAACAUAUGAGGUAGUAAGAAUUGGU